UACGAAGGGGGCUAGCGUUGUUCGGAUUUACUGGGCGUAAAGCGCACGUAGGCGGAUCGUUAAGUCGGGGGUGAAAUCCUGGAGCUCAACUCCAGAACUGCCUUCGAUACUGGCGAUCUAGAGUCCGGAAGAGGUGAGUGGAACUCCUAGUGUAGAGGUGGAAUUCGUAGAUAUUAGGAAGAACACCAGUGGCGAAGGCGGCUCACUGGUCCGGUACUGACGCUGAGGUGCGAAAGCGUGGGGCGCAAACAGG
RNAcentral lists this ribosomal RNA (253 nucleotides) under uncultured bacterium. RNAcentral's name for it is "partial 16S ribosomal RNA". It matches the Rfam family "Bacterial small subunit ribosomal RNA", at positions 524 to 776 of the family's 1533-position model. The record is from RNAcentral.